RNAcentral lists this ribosomal RNA (216 nucleotides) under uncultured Septoglomus. RNAcentral's name for it is "partial 18S ribosomal RNA". The stretch from base 47 to 216 matches the Rfam family "Eukaryotic small subunit ribosomal RNA", at positions 693 to 864 of the family's 1831-position model. The record is from RNAcentral. Lineage: Eukaryota; Fungi; Glomeromycota; Glomeromycetes; Glomerales; Glomeraceae.
GGAUCAAUGGAUUGGUCAUGCCGAUGGUAUGUACUGGUCAUAUUGGUUCUCACCUUCUAAGGAACCAUAAUGUCAUUCAUUUGAUGUUUUGGGGAAUUAGGACUGUUACCUUGAAAAAAUUAGAGUGUUUAAAGCAGGCUAACGCUUGAAUACAUUAGCAUGGAAUAAUGAAAUAGGACGUCGCAUUCUAUUUUGUUGGUUUCUAGGAUCGAUGUA